UCGAACAAGUGGGUUGUCUUCAAUCGACGAGAUUAAAGAAAUCGAAGAUUCAUUUCGACUCCCAAUAAACUCGACACUUUCAUGUGCUCCAGAACUAAGUUAAAUUGCUCCACGACCAUGAUCUAUUACUACAAGAUGCUCCAUGAGCCCAUUCUACUCAUGUAGUGUCGAAGUUACACCUCAGCAACUAGUCAAGCAUGACUAUUACUAGUGAUUCCCAUUUCUUCCACUUAUUUCAAUAAACUGAAGUUCCCCAAACUUCAUCAAAACUCUACUACGAUACUCUGAUAGAAUUUUCCCCAAAACAUUCUUCCUCUGUCUAGUGCCAGGUCAAUUCCAUUUCUGUUCUUCUCACUAUACCUGGACACUGAAUUCAUCCAGGUUUUCUUCCACAAUUUCGACACCUAUCUGGUGAGUCUUCUACCUCUUGCCAAGUGCUAGGAUGCACUAUUUCUUGUACCAGAGACCUAUCCCAGAAAUUCCUCAGUGCGUUCUAUGGCGCACUUCUCCUGAACUAUCCUACCAACAGUGACAGCAGUAACUGUUGUCAAGAUUCCCUCUUCUUAUGCAGGUACACCAUAAAUCAUUGUCCGUACUGGCGACACUUACCACA
This 613-nucleotide long non-coding RNA is filed under the name Eucalyptus grandis. RNAcentral describes it as "long non-coding RNA (EGRA_LNC007793)". Lineage: Eukaryota; Viridiplantae; Streptophyta; Magnoliopsida; Myrtales; Myrtaceae. The record is from RNAcentral.